AAGGAUCAUUAAUGAAUUACAAGUCGGUCAUCUGUGCUGGUGGAAACACAUGUGCACGUUGAUCGCAAAUCCACACACCUGUGAACCUUUGACUCUGAGAUUCGCUUGUGCAAACUUGCAGCUGGUUGACUUUGGUYGGCCUGGAUCUUGGAGUAUUUUUACACACUCUGAAUGUAAUGGAAUGUCUAUGUGCAUAACGCGCAAAAAAACAACUUUCAACAACGGAUCUCUUGGCUCUCGCACCGAUGAAGAACGCAGCGAAAUGCGAUAAGUAAUGUGAAUUGCAGAAUUCAGUGAAUCAUCGAAUCUUUGAACGCACCUUGCACCCUUUGGUAUUCCGAAGGGUACACCCGUUUGAGUGUCAUUGUAAUCUCACUCCUUCAACUUUGUUGUUGUUGGAUGUGGACUUGGACUCUGUYGUGUCACAACGACUGGUCUUAAAUGAAUGAGUGCACCCUGCUGUUGCAGCGUCUUCAGUGUGAUAAGCAUCUUCACUGGAACAAAGUUCCCUUUUGGGACACGCAGGCAUUGUAGGCUCUGUGCUGGCAAACCGUCCUUUUUGGACAAAUCUUUGACAAUUUGACCUCAAAUCGGGUGGGACUACCCGCUGAACUUAAGCAUAUCAAUAAGCGGAGGAAAAGAAACUAACAAGGAUUCCCCUAGUAACGGCGAGUGAAGAGGGAAAAGCUCAAAUUUUGAAUCUGGUGUCUUUGGCGCCCGAGUUGUAAUCUAGAGAAGUGUUUUCUGCCUCGGACCACACAUAAAUUCCCUGGAAUGGGGUGUCAUAGAGGGUGAGAAUCCCGUUUGUGGUGUGGACUACCUUGGCUCUGUGAUACACUCUCAACGAGUCGAGUUGUUUGGGAAUGCAGCUCAAAAUGGGUGGUAAAUUCCAUCUAAAGCUAAAUAUUGGCGAGAGACCGAUAGCGAACAAGUACCGUGAGGGAAAGAUGAAAAGCACUUUGGAAAGAGAGUGAAACAGUACGUGAAAUUGUUGAAAGGGAAGCGUUUGAAGUCAGUCGCAUUGGUCGGAACUCAGCCUGGCUUCUGCCUGGUGUAUUUUCUGGCAAAUGGGUCAGUGUCAAUUUUGAUCGAGAGAGAAAGACUUGAGGAAUGUGGCUGUCUUCGGGCAGUGUUAUAGCCUCUUGUUGUAUGUCUCGGUUGGGAUUGAGGAAYGCAGCACGCCUUUUGGCCGGGGUUCGCGCCCUCGGUACGUGCUUAGGACACUGGCAU
RNAcentral lists this ribosomal RNA (1230 nucleotides) under uncultured Sebacinales. RNAcentral's name for it is "eukaryotic LSU rRNA". The record is from RNAcentral. Lineage: Eukaryota; Fungi; Basidiomycota; Agaricomycetes; Sebacinales.